This 1407-nucleotide long non-coding RNA is filed under the name Scleropages formosus (Asian bonytongue). Its description in RNAcentral is "lncRNA (ENSSFOG00015029518.1)". The record is from RNAcentral. Lineage: Eukaryota; Metazoa; Chordata; Actinopteri; Osteoglossiformes; Osteoglossidae.
CCGGGGGCGCGGUGGGUUGGACCACAGUUCUGCUCCCUGGUGGGUCUGGGUUCGAGUCCGCUUGGGGUGCCUUGCAACGGACUGGCGUCCAGUCUUGGGUGUGUCCCCUCCCCCUCUAGCCUUACGCCCUGUGUUGCCGGGUAGGCUCCGGUUCCCCCGCGACCCCGUAUGGGACAAGCGGUUCUGAAAAUAUGUGUGUGUGUGUGUGUGUACUAUAACUCCUACUAAUACAAGUGAAAACAGGAGAGAGAUGCUCUGGGCAUCAUGACAUGAGAGAGGAGAAGGUUUUUUCCGUCACUAGCUUACGUUUGCGAGCUAUGCCUAUUUUUACACGCGGAAAUUCAUUUUGCGGGUUCACCAGCGUAAACCAGAGACCGAAUAAGACACGACUGGUGUUCAGUUUUCUGAUGUGCCAGCAAGCUCGCUAAACUCUUGUAAAAAUUAGACAUGCAGCUUCUGCUCUCACUCCUGUGCUGCAUUCCUGUUAUGGGGGUAUUCUCAACAGUCAGCCAGUUCCCACCCUCUGUGGAAGUGAUGGAGGGGGCUUCCAUCACUUUGGAAUGUCGCUUUGACCUAGUCAUUCAGUACUGCUACACUGUCAACUGGAUGAAAUUACAGUUAAACACCAAUGUGCUGACCACCUACCAAAACAAAAAUAUGGAUGGUUCUAAGCCAUCACAGUUUAAAUGUCUGUUAUCAAUCAACCGUGCCACAGUAAGCGACUCUGGGGUUUACUACUGUUCAGUAGUGCGUGGCAAUAUGGUCUACCUUGGAAAUGGCUCCUCCGUGACAGUGAUUGGAAAUACAACCAAAACUCCAUCCAUUGAAGUUCUCAUGGCAUUUGAAAGCAGUUUGCAGUCCCCAGUCCUCCUGCUGUGCUUGGUCUCUGGGUUGAGUUCCUCCCAGGUCCAUGUGUCCUGGGAUAUUGGAGGGACGGCAGCAAAUGGAAGCUCCAAGUACAGCUGGAGGAACAACCCCUUGGAAAUGCUUUGGACCCAGAACUUGGUCUUGGUUUCUGCUGAGGAGUGGCAUCGUGGGUCUUUGUGUACCUGCGUGGUAGAGUAUGAAGGGCAGCGCUUCUUAAAGUCUGUUCAGAGUCAAGGAAGUGGGGUGCCAUGUCUGACCCUUACCUAUGUAGCAUCUGGCGGAGCUGCACUCGUACUUGUUGUGGCACUUUCUGUCCUCAUCUGCUUAAGCUGUGGGUGUCCAAAGGUUUUUAAAGUGAAGAAAAGAAUGGGUGCAGAGUGCAAAAAUCAGUCUUCAGGGCGGCUGGGAAGAGGAUCACAGACUGCAGCAAUAUAUGAUACAAUGGAAAUCCACUAUGCAACUUUAGAUGUGGUCAGCUUGGGAAGACGCAAGAAGACAUUGAUGGAGUUGUAAUCUUGUCAAACAUUUCAAACAACUCAU